Molecule: non-coding RNA, 20 nt
Filed under: Arabidopsis thaliana (thale cress)
Lineage: Eukaryota; Viridiplantae; Streptophyta; Magnoliopsida; Brassicales; Brassicaceae
Source: RNAcentral
UCAUAUGGACUUUGGGUACA